Sipha flava (yellow sugarcane aphid) is the source of this 1455-nucleotide long non-coding RNA. RefSeq lists it as uncharacterized. The record is from RefSeq and is a predicted model, not a curated record. The transcript has 3 exons. Lineage: Eukaryota; Metazoa; Arthropoda; Insecta; Hemiptera; Aphididae.
UCAGUUUCUCUCCAGACCUAACCUAACCUCUUUUAUAUGUCAUGUGGUAGUACUCUUCUUUUCUCGUUUUUUUUCAAAUAAGUGUUUAAGAACAAUAUAAUAUGACCGGGUUAAUCACCGACAACAUUGGUGCGAGUAAUAAGAAAUUUAAAUAUAUUGUACCUGCGUCUCUAAAGAACCUCAUCAAUAAAAGUGUAUUCACCAUCGACUUUUCAUACCGGAAUUUCAUGAACAUAUAUGAUUGGACCCAGUUGACCAUUUCAGCAUCGAGGUAUAAAUUAUUUCUUUAUCUAGACAUAUUUCAAUUUCAUCUGAUUUCCUACAUUGAAUAUUUUCUUUGAUGGACCAUAUUUUAUCGUACAUGUUAGUACCACGAUACAAAUGAACUGUUUUUUUGGUAACCGAAUUGAAACUACUAAAGAGUUUGGUAUAUUGCUAUGAGAACAUUUUGGAUGUAGAAGACACAAAUCAAAUUUCAUGUCGUAUAACAUGAACCGCUCGGAUCUUGUAACAUUGCAACAUGUGAAAUGGUGUAUAUUUGAGACUAUUAUACUAACAAAUACAAACAUACCUUGGUGAAGCCACAGUUCAAAUCGAUAUGUGCUUAUUUUUAAUGAGUUGAAAACGCAGAAAAAAGUAUUUCAAAUAUAAAUAACGCCAAUGAUGAAUUGAUUUUAUCUCAUUUACUGAAAAGCGUGAACAAUUUCAUGAGUCAGUUAAAACUGUUUGCUGCAAAGCAAUUGACUGACUAGUAUGGUGAAAUUUAAACUCAAGGAAGAUACAAGUUGUAAGGAUUUAUAACAAACAGACUUUUUUAUCUGAUGUCACCGAUGAUGUCGAUAGGCCAUAUCAAAAACAUACUGAUGAAAUCGAAGGAUCGAAUUUUUUAUAAAUCAAUUCAUACUCACCACACAAGUUUUCACAACCAAAAGUUGAUGAUAACAUAGUAUCUUUACCCCCCAAGCUACAAACAAGAACUCACCGUAGAUAAAAAUGAUGGACCAACCUACUUCAACAAAUAGUGUCAACAGCUCAACAAGUAUGGAAGUAACUUAAGCUUUUACUAAAAUAUUAGUAAAUCGCUCUCUUAUACUACUCCAACUAAACAAUGGUAAAUACUCUUGUAACAAAACAUUUGAUGCCUUAAGUUUAAAAUUAAGAAGUAUUCAACAUUUAGUACAAAAAAAGCGUGUAAUGUCAAAUGAUUUAAUCAAACCUUGUUAAGAAAAAUGUUUAGAUCUAAAGAGUUGCAGCUUAGAACUUACAGCUAGAGGUACAUAUGACUGACUAGGUUUCUAUUUAACUUAUGUUGAUAAACAUGUACAGUAAUUCAAUACAUACUAUUUUAUUUGUACAUUCUUAUGAUAUAAGUUAAUAAUCCACUUUUUAAUUUAAGUAUAGAAUUUUUUAUUUAAGAUUCUAUUUAGUUACACAGUUAAUGUUCACAUGAUCUAU